Molecule: transfer RNA, 71 nt
Filed under: Dallia pectoralis (Alaska blackfish)
Lineage: Eukaryota; Metazoa; Chordata; Actinopteri; Esociformes; Umbridae
Description: tRNA-Thr
Source: RNAcentral
GAGUUGGUAGCUCAGUGGUAGUGUGCAUGCUUUGUAUUUAUGAUGUCCUGGGUUCAAUCCCCAGGUUGCCG